UACGUAGGGUGCAAGCGUUGUCCGGAAUUAUUGGGCGUAAAGAGCUCGUAGGCGGUCUGUCGCGUCGGCUGUGAAAUCCCGGAGCUCAACUCCGGGUCUGCAGUCGAUACGGGCAAACUGGAGUACUGCAGGGGAGACUGGAAUUCCUGGUGUAGCGGUGAAAUGCGCAGAUAUCAGGAGGAACACCGGUGGCGAAGGCGGGUCUCUGGGCAGUAACUGACGCUGAGGCACGAAGGCCAGGGGAGCAAACGGG
RNAcentral lists this ribosomal RNA (253 nucleotides) under uncultured bacterium. RNAcentral's name for it is "partial 16S ribosomal RNA". It matches the Rfam family "Bacterial small subunit ribosomal RNA", at positions 524 to 776 of the family's 1533-position model. The record is from RNAcentral.